AUGCGUGCGCGCUCUGCGCCAAGCCGCUGGAGCGCGACAGCGACAUCUUCAUGUACAGAGGGGACACCCUUCUGCAGCGAGGAGUGCCGCGACGAGCAGAUGCAGCUCGACGCUAUCUGCUCCAGGCAGGCCGCCCGUAGGCAGGAGCGGCUCUCGUCGGGAUCGGAGGCCCGGCGCUGGCAUCAAGACUCCGGGAAGGUGUCCGUCGCGAGCUAG
This 216-nucleotide ribosomal RNA is filed under the name Triticum aestivum (bread wheat). Its description in RNAcentral is "partial small subunit ribosomal RNA". Lineage: Eukaryota; Viridiplantae; Streptophyta; Magnoliopsida; Poales; Poaceae. The record is from RNAcentral.